This is a long non-coding RNA of Musa acuminata AAA Group (dessert banana), 2653 nucleotides long. RefSeq lists it as uncharacterized. Lineage: Eukaryota; Viridiplantae; Streptophyta; Magnoliopsida; Zingiberales; Musaceae. The transcript has 2 exons. The record is from RefSeq and is a predicted model, not a curated record.
GUUACUGAUGAGCUGCUGCUAUAUAUAAAAAGAGGGACGGAGAGAGUAACCGCACCUCCACACCUCGUCCCAACUACUGACUGAACCCCAUACCUUCUCCUUCCCAAUCUCUUUUCUCUCAACCGACCAGGGAAAGGAAAGUAGUAUAAAGAGCCCCCCACCAUUGCUGCCUUUCACUUCAUUCCAACUACUCUUUUCUGAAUAAGAGGUAAGUUCCACUGGCAUCACUUACUUCCCCUACUUGGGAAAGACUAGAUACAUACAUAUCUAUCUGAAGACACAAGCUGCAGCGGCAUGUCUCUGUUUGUUCUUCUUUGCUUGCUGCAUACUAAGUGAUCGAGCCUCGUGAGAGGACAGAGGGAGAAACACUUGAAUCAUCCCUUACGCCCCCGUUAUAAUUGGCUGCCAUAUAAGGAUGGUGGAGUCUAUGGCUGUCGUGGUGAUCAGGGGGUACGACGCGCAGCGGGACCGACCUCCUCGGCGAUCCCCUCUGCCGUGUCCGUCGCUCCCCCUCCUUCCUCAUGCUGUAAGUUUGCGUAUGCGAAGAAGCACAAUCAUAAUGUUAAUAAAAGUGGUGGAGAUGGUUAGCGGGCUGGAGAAGGAGAUCGUUGGGCUUGUCCGCGGGUGCAUCGCACCGUGGCCUGAGGCAACCCCCUUGCCUUGUUAUUACCCUCACCCUCCAAGUACCACACCGCCCCCAUCUAUGCGAAGGUGGACCUCCGCGGCUCCCCCUGUUGCCGGUGACUCUCACCACACGUUAAUCUUUCCCAUCACACUAAUCACUGUCAUUAAUACUAAUCUAAUCGAGUGACAUCCUUGGCGAAGGGGGCUCGCACUGAAGCUGGUGCAGCGGAUGGAGGAGUGGUCUAAGGAGAAGGGGGCGGGGUACGCGUACAUGACGUCGGAGAAGGACAACUAAUCGUCUUUCCGCCUCUUCACUGGGCGGUGCGGUCACUCCAAGUUCCGCACCCCCGCCAUCCCGGUGCACCCCGUGUUAGCCCCCAUCGCCUUCCCCUUCCCCCACGCAUCGCCAUCCUCCGCCUCACCCCCGCCGAUGCCCAGUCCCUGUACCGUCGCCGCUUCGCCGCCACCGAGUUCUUCCCCCGCGACAUCGACACCGUCCUCACCAACCCGCCCUCCCUGGGCACCUUCCUCGACGUCCCUCCUUCCCUCGUGAUCCCGUGAACACGCACACGUGAACGACCACGCGUGGGCCCUGUCCCGCAGUUCCCGUGAUCCCUCCCAUCCGUGAACGCCGUAACAGGGCGUGGGGGAUUGUACCUCAGGUUAAUCUAAUCGAGUGGCAUCGUUAGGUCCCGUGGGACAACGGAGAAGACAACCUCACUCGGCACCUUCCUCGCCGUCCCUCCUUCGCCAGUGAUCCCGUGAACACCCACCCGUGAACGACCACGUGGGCCCUGUCCCGCAGGUCAUCCCUCCCACCCGUGAACUCCGCAACAAGGCGUGGGGGACCCCGGCUCCCGAGCGGUGGCGGCGUGCGAGCCGCUCUCCCAAUCACUGUCUUUAAUACUUCCUCGCUGUCCCUCCUUCCCCCGUGAACACGCACCCGUUAACGCCCGCAUGUGGGCCCUGUCCCGCAGGUCGGUCCCUCCCACCCGUGAACUCCGUAACAGGGCAUGGGGGAUUGCACCUUAGGCUAAUAUAAUCUAAUCUAAUCGAGUGGCAGACGAUGGAGGCGUGAUCUACGGAGAAGAGGGCGGAGUACGCGUUCAUGGCGACGGAGAAGGACACCGUGGCAUCGACGCCGUCCUCGUCAACCCGCCCUCCCUCGGCACCUUCCGCGCGGUGGACCGGGCGCUGUCGUGGCUGUGCAUCCCCCGCUGGAGCUGCUCGCACGCCGCCACCACUCGGCAGCCGCGAUCCCCCACGACCUGUUGUGCACGUGACGGAGUUCACGGAUGGGUACGAGGGAUCACGAGACCUGCAGGGCAGGAUCACGGGGCAAGAUCACGAGACCUGCAGGGCAGGCUCACUCGUCCUACUUUCUCGUGGUGGCUGUCUCUGCUUGUAUGAGAUCUGCCGGACGCGACGUGGGCAGACAACGGAGACGACGUGGUGGCUGUCGACCAUGAGGUUCCACUUCAGAGACCACGAGGUUUCCGAUCAAUAGGACCAUUGGCGAGGCGAAUGAUACGGGACCCGUAGGACCGACGCUGAACAUUAGGGCAUCGCACGAAAGUAGCUCACGUCGUUGUCGCUAGCACUGUCACCUCACGGGUGGGCUGGCUGGCUUUUGAGAGGAAGUAGGUCGAAACAUUAUCUAUAAAACGGUACUCAUAGUACAACAACGAGUACGGUUGUGAAAUAGUAGCGUGCGAAGGAUGGUUGGUGUGAUGCUAUUUAUUUUUAUAUUAUUUAUAAUAAUUAUUUUAAUAUUUUUUAUUGGCGAAGGUUAAAAUGUUGUGCCCAAAAAUUACCGUGUUGUCCUAUAAAUCCAACGUCGGUCAAUGGCACUAUGUAGUUUAUUAUCAUCUAAUCCUCCUCGUUAACUUAGGUUAUCUUAUCUAGUGGGAUGUGUGAUUAACUUCUUAGAGUUGUACUUUAAUUUUGUAAUAUAUGGCUGUGAUUAAGCGUUUUACUCUGUAUAUUGAUACUAUGAAUGGAAUGAAACGAGGAGGUUAAAUCUGUGUUA